Molecule: long non-coding RNA, 5033 nt
Organism: Cornus florida
Lineage: Eukaryota; Viridiplantae; Streptophyta; Magnoliopsida; Cornales; Cornaceae
Exons: 3
Source: RefSeq, a predicted model, not a curated record
GGUUACUAAAAAAGCCCUAACCAAAUCACAACCGCAAGAAGCCACUGUCCAUUUCCCCUGCCCCAUAAUUCCACCCUCAUUGUUCUUCAAUUACACCGGUGACUCCCACCCACUUUGAAUCCACGGUCAACUCCCACGUUUAGGUUAGCUCUCUCACUCAAUCCCAAGCUAAUACGGAGUCAUAUUGUUGAUGGAUGAGAGAUUGAUGGCUGGGUUUUGAAGUUGGAGAAGGAGAUGACGAUGACUACAGAACUUCGAAUCUUGUACAUGGAGUUCGCCUCCUUUUCUCCUCUAAACGGAAUGUGGGAUAAGUUAGAAGCAUACACCAAGGAAGCUUAGUGCCCUGCAAUUGACAUGAUCUACCAACACUUAAUGCAGGUCAUAACAUAACCAUUGGCUUGGCAUGGUUUCUAAAUCCUGGUUUGUUGUGCAUAUUUGGCUGAAUUUCCCCUUUUUAUUUUUAUUUUUAUUUUUUGUUAUCAAAAGAAAAAUCAGAACUUGUUGAGUUUCCUUAACCAGUGUCCUGAGGACUAAUGCAGAGUAUUCUCGAAUGUGUCUUAGUAAUACCCUUCAUUUUAUCUAUUUUAGCUACCAGGAUUGUUUGCCACAGGGGUCAAAUGACUCUAUACGAUUCUUAUUGCGGAAAAUUCAGCAAAAUUCUGCUGCUCAUAAACACACUGAUGUGAACUCAGCUUGUAACUAGUAAUCUGAUCAGUUUUGUUUCACAAAGUUGGUGUUCUUACCCGAUGUUGAUUUUCCGAAGCUUAGAUUGUCAGUGAUGAAUCUUAAUGACUGGCACUGAGAUAAUGCAACAAUUGCUGUCCAUUUGUGAAUGCAACAACUACUGUUCUUUUGCGUGAAUAGGUAAUGUUUUCUCUCUUGCACUUGUCACCAGUAAUGAUAUUUUCAUCUAUGGAUCUCAAGAGUGUUCAAAUAUAUAUUUUUGUUCAAAUAUAUAUUUUUCAUCAUUCGACUACUGCAAAAUAUUGAGCAUCGUAGGCUUUUUGAGAUCCAGUUGUCUUUUUGAGAUACAGUUGUCUCUAAUUUUUUGAAUUCUGCAAUCGCAUGUUGGCAUGAGUUUUAUGUGGUUAUGGUAAUUUCAAAACUUUUCCUUAACAGGUAAAUCGAGUACUUAUGAUCAUUUAAAUUUAAUUACAUAGGUUCCUUCUCUGCAAUUUAGUAGAGGCCUAGACCGAAAUUUCAAAAUGCAGACCAUCUUUAAGAAAUUUAUAAACUCAAACAUUGAAAUGGUCAUUUGGUACUACACUUAUUUGAAUUUCUAUGAGUCCAUUGAUCUGUUUAAUUCUUAAAAACAAUUGAGUCCUUACUAUUCAGUAGGUGUUCUAAUAUUUGAGCUGAAAAUAUAAAAGAACAGUUGAUUUCUUUUCCCUUAUUUUAAGCUCCAACCUUUAUGCUUAAGCUUAAUAUCUCAACCUUUAUGCUUAAGCUUAAUAUCGCGAAGCUAUAGAAUAAGAUUUGUCUGAGCAAGCAAUAAAUAUUACUUCAAUUCUCAUCAAAGCCUUUUUGUUGAUUACACAGUUUCAACAGAGACUGAUAUCAAUUUUCAGUUCUUUUGAUGUCUUUUGUGCUGAAUAGUUCGAUCAGAAGGUUGGCUUCUCUUGGGGUCCCACUAAAGCAGAGAAGGACGCGUCUGCAGUGGAUCAAACUAUUCAGCACACAAGACAUCAAAAGAACUUGUUGAGUUCUUCUAUUGCCAAGCUUGAGUAUCAACUCCUCCAAAAGCCUUGUAUUCUUUGCAGGGGUUGACAACCAAACCAAGACUGAUACUAUGGCUUUCCUUCAUUUUGGGAUUGGGACACCGUCUGUUACUUACCUAGGACUGCGAUUGACCUCAAGUGCCAUCAACUCUACAGACUGUCAAUCUCUUGUUGAAAGAAUUACUAGGGUGAAUAGAUGCACAUCAAGAUUCUUAUCUUUUGCAGGUAGAUCAAUUCUCAUUAAGUCCAUUUUAUGUUCAAUCCAAUUUCACUGGGCUCAAAAUUUUGUCUUUCCCAAAAAGGUGAUUAAUCAAGUGAACCGAAUCUUGAGAUGUUUCCUGUGGUUUGGAGUUGAAAUGAAGAGGAUAGGUGCAAAGGUAGCUUGGGAUGUGGUUUGUAGGACUAAAGCUCAGGGUGGAAUUGGUUUUCCAAAUUUAGAAAUGUCGAACAUUAUUACAAAUUUGAAGUAUAUUUUGGAAGCUUUUUGAUAGGAGUAAAGAGAGGUUAUGGGUGGCUUGGUGUUUCAGAUACUUGAUCAAAGCUGGGAGUUUCUGGAGUCUUAGGUCCUCUGCACUGAGCUCAGGUUUUUGGAGAAGAAUUCUAAAGUUGAGGGAUAUGGCCAGAUGAAUUAUUAAGCACAUAGUGAGGAAGGGCACUGACACUAUGUUAUGGAUGCAUUACGGUUACCAAAUGGUCCUAUCACUUCUCAGAUCAACCUCUUUGAAGUGGAAAUCCUUCGACUGGUUAGAUUUAUCAAAGUUGAUAGUCUAAUUUCCAAUUUUUAGUGGGUUGUCCCACCUUCAAUAGCUCACAUGUUAUUCUUCCAAUCCCAUAUCUUCCUCUCCCAGUUACAGAGCUCGCCUCUCCCCUCUAAUCUAUCAAAUAAGGUCCUCUGGUUACCCUCGCAAACCAAUUCAUUCUCCCUCUCUCAUACCAUCAAGUACUUCUCACCUCCAACCUACGCCCUUCUGGUCCUUUCGAUAUUCCUUUUGACCAAUGAAAUUAGUAGUUAAUUGCUAAGAUUCCAAUAGAUUAUUGAAUUCUCAUCCAUGUACAAUUUCUCUACCUCUAUAUAUAAAGGGAGUAGUAGAAUCAAACAAAUUUGUGCUGCUAAUCGAAGAGAAAUGAGUUAGAGCUGAUUUUAGAAAGAAAGGAUUUUUCAUGCUCCUGAAAAGGCAAGUGUCAAAAAGGCGCAUACUUUGAAAUUGUAGGAAACAUAGAUGAACCCCGCCACUACGGUCUGUCCCAACAUUCCCUCCAAUACCUUGUUAACCAACAUUUCCAUGGCAGCAUAUCAUCUGGUUUAAGCACCAUGUUCCCAAGCAUGGUUUCAUUGCUUGGCUUGCUCGAUCUCAGAGGAAGGUUGUAUACAUUGGAUUCUAAACCAAUGUUACAUAAGAACUACACUAAUACCUGUUACCUUUGUCUAGCCAGUGAGGAGUCAAUGGAUCACCUCUUCUUUAAGUGUAAGUUUUCAAAGGAUAUUUGGUGUUACAUUCAACAUUGUGAAGGGUUCUACAUCAGGCCUAGUAGCUGGCAUGAUCUGAUUGCUUGGUGUACCUCCAUCUGGCGUUCAAAAAGAUUUUUGGUCCACACGUUACUCCUCUCAGUCUCAGCUGCUGUUUAUUUCAUUUGGUUGGAAAGGAAUUGAAGGGCCUUUAGAAAUAGGUUAUCCACUUCACAUCAGAUCAUUGAGCAAAUCAGGAAGUGCACCAGAUCGAGGCUCUGCUGACCUCAAGAAGAUUACCAAAUGGGAGGACCUCCAACUUCUGUUCAUGCAGGGAUGCAGCUUUGCAACUGCCCAGUCACUCCUAAGCUGAUUUUGGAACUACAUUGUAUGGUGGUUGACUAUGCCUCUGAUCUGUGCACUUGUUCACUCUGUUUGGUUUUGUGCUUUGUUGCCUCCUGGCUUUUUGUGUUGUCCUCUUUGGGACCCCAUGUACAUUAUCUUCCUUUUUAUACAAGCUUACCCUUUUAACUAAAAAAAAAAAGAAAAGAAAAGAAGCAAAUUCAAUGCAAAAUUUUGUGCGUACAUUUAUUAGAAAUAUAUAUAUAUAGGACCUUAAUUCAGGCUGUGGGGUUGAUCAAUUUGUUUGAUCUGCUUUUUUGAUGGCUUGCUUCAUAGUCAACUUUGCUCAUUUUUGGAAUUAUUGAAUUAGUUGUUCCUUAUGCAGCAUUUCGAGGUCAAAUACCACACUUUGAAAAUUAAAUUUUCGCCGACUUUCAUCCCAUUCCAUAUUUUCCUUUUUUAAAAUUCAUUUCUUGUAUCUCAUGUUGUCCACAAAUUAAUUGUUACUCAUUUUGUUCUUUAUAUCUUAUGUUGUUUACAAAUAUAUACUUGUGUUAAGAGUUGGUCUCAUAUCUUAAUUUUCUCUUUUUCCCAUCUCAGGUGCUUCCAUCUUUGGAAAACACAAAAAAUGUGUCACAUUGGCUUUUGAGGUUCUUUAGUCCGCUGAAGGACUGUUAUCUGUCGGUUAUAGCCACACGAAUUGAAAAAGUCCCAACCCGUUUGCUCUGUGCAACAAAAAAUUAAAAAAAAAAUAUGCCUCCUUUGUGUGGUAAAAACACCCAAACAAGGGCCUAUCUGUUCAAAAGGACUAAAACGACCUUGUAUCAAUAUAAUAAAAUAAUAUUUAAACAAUAAGCUGAAGUAAAAUGACCAUUUGGAACAAAAUAACUCUCCCCCUACAAGGUAUAUAUAUUACGUAAGGAAUGCAAGAAGAACAAUACAACUCUGAAACACUCGUGUUAUGCACUACUACAACCCAGAAGAUGGAUAUAAUACAUCUCUAAUGCUAGCUAUGCUUUGCGUGAAAGGAAAUAUUAGGAAAGGAAAAUGGUAUAAACAAACACACAUGACAUCCAAUCAAGCAAUGAACAUGAUCAGAGAGCCUAGCAUUGUGCAAUGAAGCUUUAACUCCAGGUCUGCAACCAUAAGGAACUAUCCAUAACCCAAGAAAGGACAUCAAAAAAAUCAUUCAAUUCAACACCACCAUAUAAUCCUUCCCAAAACAAAACAAAUUUAUCCUUUCUCAAUAUAUAUUCAAAUAUUCAUAACUCCUCUUAAAAAGUCAGUUUCAGAUCAAAACAAUAGAAGUCAGCGUGAUGUUACAAGAAGGUUUCUAGUACAUGUUCGCCCUUCAUGAAGGCUUGCAUUAUCACAAUGUGGUGAGGAAGUCAGCUUCUGAUCAAAACAAUGUGGUGAGGAAGUCAGCUUGAUCCGCGUGAUGUCAAACCUUACAGGAAGGUUUCUAGUACAUGUUCGCCCCUCACGAAGGCUUGAAUUAUCACAAUGUGGUGAGAAGUCAGUUUCAG